GCGGAGUCUCUUAAAGCNGUUCUCAGUUCGGACUGCAGUCUGCAACUCGACUGCACGAAGCUGGAAUCGCUAGUAAUCGCGGAUCAGCACGCCGCGGUGAAUACGUUCCCGGGCCUUGUACACACCGCCCGUCACACCAUGGAAGUCGGAAAUGCCCGAAGUCUGUGACCCAACCUACGGGAGGGAGCAGCCGAAGGCAGGUCGGAUGACUGGGGUGAAGUCGUAACAAGGUAAC
This 235-nucleotide ribosomal RNA is filed under the name uncultured bacterium. RNAcentral's name for it is "partial 16S ribosomal RNA". It matches the Rfam family "Bacterial small subunit ribosomal RNA", at positions 1267 to 1500 of the family's 1533-position model. The record is from RNAcentral.